RNAcentral lists this ribosomal RNA (552 nucleotides) under uncultured archaeon. RNAcentral describes it as "partial 16S ribosomal RNA". It matches the Rfam family "Archaeal small subunit ribosomal RNA", at positions 541 to 1084 of the family's 1478-position model. The record is from RNAcentral.
UCGGUUAAAUCUAUGCGCUUAACGUAUAGGCCGCCGAAAAUACUGUGCAGCUAGGGAGUGGGAGAGGUACACGGUACUCGAUAGGAAGGGGUAAAAUCCUUUGAUCUAUUGAUGACCACCUGUGGCGAAGGCGGUGUACCAGAACACGUUCGACGGUGAGGGAUGAAAGCUGGGGGAGCAAACCGGAUUAGAUACCCGGGUAGUCCCAGCUGUAAACGAUGCGGACUCGGUGGUGCAUUGGCUUGUGGCCAAUGCAGUGCCGCAGGGAAGCCGUUAAGUCUGCCGCCUGGGAAGUACGUACGCAAGUAUGAGAACNUUUAAAGGGGAAUUUUGGCGGGGGAGCACCACAAGGGGUGAAGCCUGCGGUUCAAUUGGAGUCAACGCCAGAAAUCUUACCUGGGGAGACAGCAGAAUGAAGGUCAAGCUGAAGACUUUACCAGACACGCUGAGAGGUGGUGCAUGGCCGUCGCCAGCUCGUGCCGUNNNNNNNNNNNNNNNNNNNNNNNACGAGCGAGAACCCUGGCGUCUAGUUGCUACCAUUACUCUCUGGAG